UCGAGUUUUGAACGGGUUGUUGCUGGCCUCAUACGGGGCAUGUGCACGCCUGACUUCACCCACUCUUCAACCUCUGUGCACUUAUUGUAGGCUAGCGUGAAAGGUCGCAUUCAUUUGCGGCUGGAAACCUGUCUACGUUUUACUACAAACGCUUCAGUUAUAGAAUGUUUAUCUGCGUAUAACGCAUUUAUAUA
Molecule: unclassified non-coding RNA, 194 nt
Filed under: soil metagenome
Description: partial internal transcribed spacer 1
Source: RNAcentral